Molecule: ribosomal RNA, 236 nt
Filed under: uncultured bacterium
Lineage: Bacteria
Description: partial 16S ribosomal RNA
Rfam family: Bacterial small subunit ribosomal RNA
Source: RNAcentral
AACCUGCCUUAUAGUGGGGGAGUAGCCUUUCGAAAGGAAGAUUAAUACCGCAUAAGAUUGUAGUAUCGCAUGAUAUAGCAAUUAAAGGAAGCAAUUCGCUAUAAGAUGGACCCGCGUCGCAUUAGCUAGUUGGUGAGGUAAUGGCUCACCAAGGCGACGAUGCGUAGCCGACCUGAGAGGGUGAUCGGCCACAUUGGGACUGAGACACGGCCCAGACUCCUACGGGAGGCAGCAUG